CAAUCUUCUGACUUAUUAACUUUAUUCAACCAACACCAAACAUUAACAGUGGAGCAGGGAAAUGAUUCCCAGAUGAGAUGAGUGUUCAUUCAAAUCAACCAGCCUUUUAACCAGCCUUGGCUUCUCUUCCAGCCUCAGAUACUUUCUUUGUUUGCUUCAUUUCAGGAGACUUUAACAUUGACUUUGAACCAGGACACGUGAUGAAACCAGUCAGUUCCCUUUCUCUGCACAGCCUGAACCAGGCUGCUCACGUCAAGGAACCUGAGGUUGUGGCUUGAGAACCUUUGAGGCUGGAGAACCAGCAGGCAGAAGCACCAGACGUAGACAUGCUACUGUCCAACCCUUUGGCUUGUCUGUGAUUAUGGCAGUAAACAUUCAGAUAAUCAAAUUAUCUAAAGAACGUUAUCUGGUCCUCCUGAGAACAACUUCAGGAACACGCAGAGAACAGCUUGUGUUCACGUUCAGGGAUCUCUGCCGGUUAAUCUGCUGAGAAAACAAGAGUUCCCACAUAGAGAGCAGGAUUACUGGGCCGGGACAACAUGGCCGUUACAUAAAUCCGGUGCGUGUUCUGGCUUGUGUUGUUGUUGUGGACUGAGGUGUAAGGUGCUGCUCCUCAUGGCAGCUGUCCCACACGUAAUGUUCCUAAUGUGGAGGCUGUAGGUGAGCCCAUAAGUGGAUUUGUGAAGCGAGCUAGGUUCAGUGACCAGAGGUGGAGCGGACCAAGAUAGAGAGCGACGCUGUGACCCAAACCUCCAUGUUAAGAACAGAUAAACCCAGUGGGGAGAACGCAGUCGCUGCUCGUCGGCGCGGGUCAGCAGGAGGUCCCCGUGGAAAAACCAGACCCUGGAGGAGCAUUCCAGAGAGAACAGGAACACGGCGUCCUCGUGGGCCCACCGGUGGAGUCUCCUCUGCUGGGUCUGGGAGCCAGAACCUGACUCAUCAGCUGCAUCCGUGCGGUGCAGGACGGGGAUCUCAUUCAGAAGAACAGCCGUUGGUUCUGGAUGGGGGUCACGAUGUGAAUGAGGAUGAUCCUGUAGUUGGAGUUGGAGCAGAUUGUCCCCCGUGGUGGUGGAGGAGGACUGGAGAAUAAAUGUUUCCUCAGAGUGGAGAAACCUUUCUAGCAGAUUCUGUGACUCAAGCUCACCUGGAUGAUCCCUCACACCGUUAUUAACUUCUUCUUCUGUGUUCUUCUGUUAUUGUGGAUGCCUUAUGUUUGUGUGGGUACAUGAGGAGGCUUAUCUGUUGUCAUGGCUGCCUGAUAUAAGGCGGAUCCAGUCAGACUGCAGGGAGAUUUAUGACAGGCUAAAUAUGACACAUCUCCACAUCAGUGCCUCUGGAAACUGGUCCAGGUUUGAAGAGUUAACUGAGUAAUGAUGCCUGACGAUCAUAGAAUAAUACGUGGGCGCUGUCAAAAUAUAGGAAACAGGAACGUGGGGGAUUAUUUUUAGUGCGCUGCCACUAAACUGGGGUCAAGACAAGAAAUGAUGCAAAGAUGUAAAAGACUUCAGGACAAGUCACACGUUGGUGUUUCUCACCCCAGGAGCUCGUUGGUGCUUUCGCCAAUUAGUCCCAUGUGGACUGUGACUGUCUCUCUAUGCAGAUUCAAAAUGACUGGCACCACACACUGCUCCACUGGUUCUGUUCGAGCUGAGGCCACAACACGAGUCCAGGUUCAAACGGAAAAACUUUAUUUAUCUGAAACAUUGGAGGCUGUUGUUUAGAUAUAAAUCUGGAUGUUUUUAUAACAUACAGUGACUAACAUUUGAUCUUUUCUAAAUAUUUGCCUAAAUCCUUUCUACACAACUUGCUCAUACUUGGUCAUAGGUUGAAGUUGAAGAAGCAGGUUCAGGUAGAAAUAAAAUAACUGAAGAAACCAGGAUGAAACCAGUAAAAAGAGAUAAGAACCAAAUCCUGUUAAAAUAAGCAUUAUUUUCACUUUCACAGCUCAGCCCUUCACGAUUAAAUUAUGAAUAUGUAAAUAUGAAACAUUUAAAUAUUUUAUAAAUAUAAAAAUUGAUAUAUGGGUUAACUCUGAUUGCUGUUCCUGCUCUGAGGUGUCAGCUUUGUUGGCAAAUCUCCAUU
Long non-coding RNA from Betta splendens (Siamese fighting fish), 2082 nucleotides. RefSeq lists it as uncharacterized. The record is from RefSeq and is a predicted model, not a curated record. The transcript has 3 exons. NCBI's taxonomy places the organism in Eukaryota, Metazoa, Chordata, Actinopteri, Anabantiformes, Osphronemidae.